Daktulosphaira vitifoliae (grape phylloxera) is the source of this 2121-nucleotide RNA transcript. It is a transcript of the gene named eukaryotic translation initiation factor 3 subunit D, with no coding region annotated. The record is from RefSeq and is a predicted model, not a curated record. NCBI's taxonomy places the organism in Eukaryota, Metazoa, Arthropoda, Insecta, Hemiptera, Phylloxeridae. The transcript has 12 exons.
UUAAAGUGUUUAUUAUCUAAAAUAGUGACCGUGUUGUUAAAGAAUCCGGUUUUCACUUUCUUUGCGUUCGUGGUAGUUUUUUUGAAAAACGUCAUUAAACUUUUAAAAGAAUAUUAAAGAAACAAAAAAUGCCAGAAGAAGUACCUCAUUUUAUACCACCCGAAAUACAAAAUAAUCCUACGGGUUGGGGACCAUGUGAAAUGCCCGAUCAGUUUAAGGAUAUGCCUUAUCAGCCUUUCUCUAAAGGCGACCGCAUUGGAAAAAUAUCUGAUUGGACAGGAUUAUCCCAAGAUAAAAAAUAUUUGAACAAAUAUCAAUCACAAUUUGGAGGUGGUACUCAAUAUGCUUACUAUCAUGAAGAAGAUGAAAAUACUUUUCAUUUGGUCGAUACUGCACGUGUUCAAAAACCGCCAUAUCAAAGAGGUCGUCAUUUUCGACAAGGAGGUCGUCUGUUGCGCGGCCAAAGUGGUCGUGGCGGAUUAUCUCGUUUACCUGGUGGUUCUAAUCAAUUCCAAUCACUUGGAAAGUUAAAUAAAUUACAAAGAGACCGUAAAAACCCUAAUGCUCGUAGAGGAUGGAAUAAACAGCAAGGUGGAAGAUCUAAUAAAAAUAAUAUGCAAAUGAAAAGUCGUGAUGCUUCAGUCACUGUCCGUGCUGAUUGGAAUACAAUUGAAGAGAUGGACUUUGUUAGAUUUUCAAAAUUAUCAUUACCGUCUAUUAAAGAACCAGAAGAUCUAGUAUGCUGUGGUUCCUUGGAAUAUUAUGAUAAAACAUAUGAUAGAAUUAAUGUGAAAAAUGAAAAACCAUUGCAACGUGUAGAUAGACUCUUUCACACUGUUACUACUACUGAUGAUCCCGUUAUAAGAAAACUGGUAAAAACUGUUGGAAAUGUUUAUGCUACUGAUGCUAUAUUGGCAUGUCUUAUGUGUUGCACUCGAUCUAACUACAGUUGGGAUAUUGUUAUUGAAAAAGUUGGUGAUAAAUUGUUUUUUGAUAAAAGAGAUAAUACCGAAUUUGAUUUACUUACUGUCAAUGAGACAGCAGUUGAGCCACCAACUGAAGAUGCAAAUAGUUUAAAUUCACCCAGAAACUUAGCAUUAGAAGCUACAUUUAUUAAUCAUAACUUUUCACAACAAGUGCUGAAAACAGGAGAAUCACGUUAUAAAUUUGAUGAACCCAAUCCUUUUGUAUCUGAUGAUGAGACUGAAGGAGAAAUAGCAUCAGUUGCAUACAGAUAUCGCAAAUGGAAUUUAGACAAUGGAAUCGUACUUGUAGCUAGAUGUGAACAUGAUGCUGUAUUACAAACACCUAAUGGAGAACUACAAUUUUUAACUAUAAAAGCUUUAAAUGAAUGGGACUCAAAACUAUCAGGAGGUGUAGAUUGGCGUCAUAAGUUAGAUGUACAACGUGGGGGUGUUUUAGCUACAGAAUUGCGUAAUAAUGCUUGUAAGCUUGCUAAAUGGACUGUGCAAGCCUUGCUAGCUGGCUCAGACUACAUUAAAUUUGGUUAUGUAAGUCGUGUUCAAGUCAGAGAUUCAUCUAAACAUGUGAUACUGGGUACCCAACAAUAUAAACCAACUGAAUUUGCCACUCAAAUCAAUCUUAAUAUGGAUAAUGCUUGGGGAAUAUUAAGAUGUAUUAUAGAUUUAUGUAUGAAACAAAAAGAUGGCAAAUAUCUAAUUAUGAAGGAUCCAAAUAAGCCACUCAUUCGUUUGUAUGAUAUUCCUGAUAACACUUUUGAUUCAGACAAUGAAGAAAAUGAAGAUGAAGAUGCUGUUUCCGAAUCCUAAAAGUAAUGAUUAAUGUUAAAUAUAUAUCAGUUAAAACUAGUAGAAUUCAAAACUAGAAAAAUUCAAUUCAGUGAGAUCAAAUCAACAAUACCAGCUGAUCUUCUUACACCAACAAAUCCAUAGAACUAAUUAUUUAAAAAUAUAAAUAAACAAAUAAAUAAUUAUAUGUGCUUUAGCCUUAAAAUAUUGUAUUCUUUAUAUUAUUUCAAAAAGAGUAUAAAUUGUGUUUUAUAAAUUUAAAUAAAUUCAAAAUAAUAGUUGAAUUUAUGUAUUAUCUUGUAUUUGAUAUUUAACUUGAUAUUUUUAAUAAAUUAUCAGUUAUGAACUCUUA